UCUGCACUUCACCCGAUAAGGUGGAUUCCAGCUUCCUUCCUUGAUAUACCAGCACCCAAAUUCCAACUUCCAAAAUCAGAUGUCACCUUGAAAGGUGGAAUCCAGCUUGAUGAUGAUGUAUACCAGCACCCAUAUCCAACUUCCAAAAUCGGAUAUCACCUUGAAAGGUGGAUUCCAGCUUCAUGAUGAUGUAUACCAGCACCCAUACCCCAUUACAAUUCUGCACUUCACCCGAUAAGGUGGAUUCCAGCUUCCUUCCUUGAUAUACCAGCACCCAAAUUCCAACUUCCAAAAUCAGAUGUCACCUUGAAAGGUGGAUUCCAGCUUGAUGAUGAUGUAUACCAGCACCCAUACCCAAUUACAAUUCUGCACUUCACCUGAUAAGGUGGAUUCCAGCUUCCUUCCUUGAUAUACCAGCACCCAAAUUCCAACUUCCAAAUUCCAACUUUCAGCUUCCAACUUCCAAAAUCAGACGUCACCUUGAAAGUAGGAUUCCGGCUUGAUGAUGAUGUAUACCAGCACCCAAAUUCCAGCUUCCAAAAUCAGAUGUCAUCUUGAAAGGUGGAUUCCAGCUUCCUUCCUUGAUAUAGCAGCACCCAAAUUCCAACUUCCAAAAUCAGAUGUCACCUUGAAAGGUGGAUUCCAGCUUGAUGAUGAUGUAUACCAGCACUCAUAUUCAUCUUAAACUCUGCAUUUCACCUGAUAAAGUGGAUUCCAGCUCCCUUCCCUGAUAUACCAGCACCCAAAUUCCAACUUCCAAAAUCAGACGUCACCUGUAUGGCUGAACAGGCAGCCAAAACCUUGCCUAGUAAACCUUAAGUCGGGUGGGGGAAGGGCAAAUUCUGAAUUUCAUACGCUUCAACGUCUACAGAUAAAGGGGACUACAUGACUGGAAAUAGGGAAAGAUGGGGAUCAGAUCAUUUUUGCAUGUCUGUCAGGAUGGAGAGAGGAGAGUUUCACAAAGUGAAGGCUCAGCAGCAGCUUAGUGAGUCCAUCGCAAAACUCUACUUUUACCAGAUGCUGAAAGCAGUCCAGGUGAGACAGACUAUAGUAUUAUGGUUGUUAUUGUUCCCAGAACACUGGAAAUACGGAAAGAUGGGGAUCGGAUUAUUUUUGCGUGUCUGUCUGUCAGGAUGGAGAGUGCAGAGUUCCACAAAGUGAAGGCUCAUCAGCAGCUUAGUGAGUCCAUUGCAAAACUCUACUUUUACCAGAUGUUGGGAGCAGUCCAGGAACAGGAUCAUCCACAGACUGCUGAAACCUGGCAUGAUGAGCUGCUGUUAUAUCAGCUCAUACUCUUGUGUACAUUGUACUUUUGAAAAAUAAAGAGAUUCUAAUAUAA
Long non-coding RNA from Scatophagus argus, 1339 nucleotides. RefSeq lists it as uncharacterized. The transcript has 2 exons. Lineage: Eukaryota; Metazoa; Chordata; Actinopteri; Scatophagidae. The record is from RefSeq and is a predicted model, not a curated record.